Molecule: long non-coding RNA, 35611 nt
Filed under: Brachypodium distachyon (stiff brome)
Lineage: Eukaryota; Viridiplantae; Streptophyta; Magnoliopsida; Poales; Poaceae
Description: long non-coding RNA (BDIS_LNC001631)
Rfam family: tRNA (bases 2889-2961)
Source: RNAcentral
UAAAAAGAACGGAAAAUGCAAAUAUUUAAUUUAUUUAAUUAAGUUAAGAAUGGUAUUCCAUAAUGGAAUUCGAAUUAAAAAACAAAAAAUACUGAGUCUCUUAAACAAGACAUUAUAAAACUUAGGUAAUUAUAGUAAUUAUGAUUUUAGUUCUCUAAACAAGAGAGCUGCUUCAUCUUUGUUUUAAAGAAAUAGAAAAAUGAAUAGAAAGUUAAAUGAUUCCACUUUUUUUUUCAUAAAUAUCCUUAUUUAGAUAAUAACUAGGUAACGAAGUUAGUUGAUUAACUUUUUUUUUUGAAUUUAACCAACUAAACCCAUUCUUAAUUUUGGAUUAUUUCAAUGAUAUAAAUUUCAGGUGAGCUGGGACGAGAUGGGCAGCCAGAUUUGAAGGACAUGAAGGUGCCAGAGCUGAGGGAGCUGGCAAGAGCAAGGCUGAUGAGAGGCUACUCGAAGCUGAAGAAGGGGGAGCUGAUCGAUCGUUUGAAGGGGGGUUUGGUCUGAUAAUUUCAGGCUUCUUAUUGUCCUAGGCCAUGAACACGGAUGGCGCCAGUGACUGAAUUGCUGGCAUGGUUCUUCAGAACUAAUUUUUCUAGCGGUUCGAUCUUCUGUUCAGUUUUUGUACAAUUUGAUGGCAUCAUCAUUUGACUCGGUGGAGGGCUUGCUGGUUAGCUUCAUUUCAAGAUGAGUUCCUUUUUCAGUUUGCAGCUUACGAAAGAGGCACUUCUUUUUUUAUGAAACUCACAAGCACAUACUCCGUAAAAUACAUGACCUCUUUGCAUUCCCUUUUUGUCUCUUGGAAGCAAAUUCGCCUCUAUUUUGGCAAAUCCAACCUCUCCAUCCAUUCCAGUAUUUGUCAGCUGCUGAGAACUAUAGCCGUUGCCAACAUAAUAUAUCAGGAUUUGUUAAUUUAAUCUAAAAAUAAAUGCCUCUCUUUUUCUUCAAAGGGAGAUUCUCUUUUUGUCGAAACCGGGACGAAGCUUGCUUCAUCUCAUUAAUUAAAAAGUUUCUAUCCGGAGCUAGUUAACAAACUAAGCAAAAAACGCUACAAUGUUGCCUAACACAAGGGAUGUCACUGACCGAUCUGGUUACCACCAUGCACUCGACAUACACCGCUAAGGAGAAGACCAUUGUCUAGGUUGUUUGCAAAUGUCAUUGUCAUCAUGCAUCACAACUUCACCGUAUAUAACCACCAGUUAAGCCCUCAUCGCAACAAUUUCACGAAGCCCAAGACGACCUAUGCUAACGGUCAACCAACAUGUCGAGGCAAGGUGGCUUUGAUUCCGAUCACAGGCUUGACAAGGAAACAACCCUUCCGCCGACACCAAAGCAUCGUUCGCAAGGCAUCAUCGCCGACAAGCUACAGAAAGCGGCGUACAUUCCUGCCACGACAUCACUAACAUCAAGAGCAGCUUCGCAAAUCAAGGACUCUGGCGUAUAGAAAAUGUUGCACCUCCGACUUUAUUGCCUCACCACAAAGAAAAUCUAAGACGCCCACGAUCAAUUAUAAAGGCUUCUAUUUCGCUGGAGUAGCUAAAUAUGAUUCAAUUGAAUACCGGGUUUGGUAAUCUAUUUAGCGUGCCUUUGGUUAGGAUGCUUUUCUGCUUUUGCUUCCAAAAAACAAAAAAUGUUAACCAAAGGUGUAUUUCUCAAAGCUAAAAGCAAAAAAGCAAACUGCUUUUGGUAGUACAAUUCUCAAAGUAGGUACAUAGAUGCUUUUAGUUGCUUUUCUUUGCCAAGUUCAGUUAAUUUACCCACGCUGACACCCAUAGGUGAAAACGAUUCACUUCUUUCCAUGCCCCGUCCCCUUCCGCGAACAGAAACAAGCCCACGAUUCCUCUUUCCUGCCAGUUCUCUGUCCCGACCGAGAGCCUGGGUACCCUAUCGGCGGCGCUCCCCACCGGCGGCCGCCCCGCCCCGAAACCCAUCCCCGGCCGUCCCGUCGUCGGCCCGCCGCGCCCCAACGACCGUCCGCCUCCAAGCUUCCACGCCAGUUCCCGGCUGCCCCCUUCCACGCCUGACCCCGGCCUGCCCCUGCCCCCUUCAGGUAUGAAGAAGUGCGGGCGUCGGUGAAGAUGGUGGGCCGUGGAGGCAUGGGCAUGGUGUACAGAGCAACGCUCAGCGACGGGCGGAUGGUGGCAGUGAAGCGCCUGCGCGACACGAACCCGUGCGGAUGCUCGAGAGCGUGCCCGUCGACGACCACGGUACCUGCGCUCAGCUACAUUGUCACGAAGGUAUCAUUUUCCGCCGGACCACGGAGGACGAUGCGCUCAGCUACCGAAAAGUUCAGCUCUCCAUCUGCAGUUCUGCAUGCUUUCACUCUUCCGUGUAGCUAAUGCUUUGUUUUGGUGCGAGAGCGAGCUAGCUUAGCUGCAUCGAUGGCAUUCAUUAUUAUGUGAUUUAUAUAUCUUUUGUACAAUAACAUUAAAAGAUCAAUCUUUAUUGUUUUAUGUACACAUAUGCAUCGUUAUAAAUAUUACAUUUCUUGUCGUGGUUACAAUCAACACAGAGAUUCAAUUUACGAUCAACUUGCAUAUAAACGGUCAUUUAGGUCUAGAAAAGCAAAAGCAAUUGAUCCAACCAAACACACUUCCUAUUUUUCCACAACAGAAAAAGCAAAGUAACUUUUAACAGCAGAAAAAGCAAAACAGAACCAAACACACCCUUACUCCAUCCAUUGCAAAAUACAAGGUGUAUAACAUUUUGUUGAUUGAGUUUGACAAAAUUUAUAGAGAAAAUAUUAACGAAUCAAAAUCAUUAGAUCCAUCAUGAAUUAUGCUUUCAUAGUAUGUUUGAUCCGUAUACCAAAUGUUAAUAUAUUUUGCUAUAAUAGGAACAAAAUUUGGAAUGGUAGAGGUUAUUUAACCUGUCGAAAGAAUUUAGAGGCAUCAUCCGUCGUAGUCUAGGUGGUUAGGAUACUCGGCUCUCACCCGAGAGACCCGGGUUCAAGUCCCGGCGACGGAAAUUUUUGCCAUUUCGCUCUUCUCAACUCAUAAUUAUCCAACAAUUACUAAACCACCCUUCAGCCCUUCAUUCGACGUUCUUAAUUCUACGCUCCGGAGGGGGUGCGAAGGUAAUUGCACACGAUAUAAGCGCCUCCGCACUAGGGUUUCCUUCUCUUCCUACAAAGCCCUCGCCGCCGCCGCCGGCCCACACCACGCUCUAAACGUCUCAACCCCCCCCUCCCUCCCCUCCCCCGCCGUCGACCCCCCAGAUCCCCCGCCUCCAUGGUGAGCGCUCGGUGCCCAGAAGCAUCGCUCUCCUUGUUUUUUUUUUGUCCUGUACCGAAUUGCUCUGUUGCUCAGGUUUGUGGACUUUCUGACGAUGUUGUUUUGUCUGGGUUCCGUGCUCGCAGUCGACGGAGAAGAAGCAGCUGAACCCCAUGCGGGAGAUCAAGGUGCAAAAGCUCGUCCUCAACAUCUCCGUCGGCGAGAGCGGAGAUCGCCUCACCCGCGCCUCCAAGGUAUAUGACUAUCUAUGUUUGUCUACCCGGUGCGCCUAAAGCGGGUGGAUUCAGAUUAGUUUCGUGAGAUACGGUUAUGUUGAUUGUUGCCUCUUAUGAGGUUCAGAUCAGUAGCGAGUUUUCUGCUUCACCUGUAGCAAUCCCCUAAUGCUUCAGGGAAUUUGAAGCUGGUGGCGAUCUAGCCCCGUCCGGCACUUGUGCAUUCUAUCUGUAGUCGAGUAAAAAAAGGGCAGCGCGCUAGCAGGAAAUGAACCAGCUAGUGAUACUGAUGCGCUACCGGCUACCAUGUAACAAUUGUGGUCUGCUCAUUACUGAUGUUAUAGAGAGGCGUUAACUGACCUAGUCUGGGCCGCGCCCAGUAGUUCAAGUGAAUUCUCUCUGCAUUUGUGUUGUCGGGGAAAAUGCAGCUUAACUGUUAAUCCUUGAUGUCAACUGCAUUGUCUUUUGUUUGUCAGGUGCUGGAGCAGCUGAGUGGACAAUCACCCGUGUUCUCCAAGGGUAAUUAUAUUAAACCCAUCUUGUUCUCAUUGGUCAUGUAACAUGUGGUCUAUUUGGGUUGCGCUCAUUGUGAUAAUGAUGUGUUAUUGCAGCGAGGUACACUGUGAGGUCGUUCGGUAUCAGGCGUAAUGAGAAGAUUGCGUGCUACGUUACAGUCAGGGGUGAGAAGGCGAUGCAGCUGCUGGAGAGUGGCCUGAAGGUGAAGGAGUAUGAGCUUCUGAGGAGGAACUUCAGUGACACCGGGUGCUUUGGGUUUGGUAUCCAGGAGCACAUUGACCUUGGCAUGAAGUAAGUUGAUCUGAUGCGUGCACUUUUGAUGUCAAUGUGGUACAUUUGUUUCUGCUGAUUAUUAUUUUUGUGCUGAAACUGUUUUCUUGUCAAGUACAAGAAACCACAUGUACUUAGUAACUGUUUAAGAAAUAAGAACACAGGCUAGUAAUUUGUUGUAAUAGUAGGAGCUGCAGCCAGAAUCAUUAGUCAGCUACUUAUAUAGUGAAAUUCACUUCUAUUGUGUAAUGCAGUUAUAAUUUUCCUAUGCCUAAAGUAUUCUUGGAACUAAUGGAUCUUUUGUUGAUUAUCAGAUUGGUCAUGUAUUCUUGGAACUAAUGUUUAUCAUGUUGUUUCAUUUAUCAGAAUCCUCAUUUUAGGUCUCAGGUUUUCAAUUGACAACAAAGCACAUCUGUAUAAUAGAGACAAUCCAAUGCAUUAGUUCCUUUAUUUUACCAAGUUUCUGCAUCAUACUCUGGACAAGCGUGUUUUCAUAAUGGAUCAUCUGUAAUUGGUGUUCGAGUAUAGCUGGUUGCCACAUUGCGGAUCAAGUCUGGAACAAGAAAUGAAGUUCUCUGAGUUUUGAUACAUCAUAUGGUCCACUAGAUGCAUCUUGUUGUACUCUUAAUUGUUGACAACAUAUUGGAAUCCUAGAGGAUACCUAAUCUUCUUUGGUUUUAUAGUGGGCAUCAUGAUGUUUGAUUUUUUUAGUUUUGGGAUUCGGGUUAGUAAUUUCACAUAUCAACAUUCAAGCAGUCCUGGUUCCUUUAUUUUGCUCAUUGCACACUGGCGUCUUAUCCCCUCAUAGUUGUGAAUGAAGUUCUGACUUAAUCGCAUGUGACUGACUUUUUUGCUUUAUCAGGUAUGACCCAUCUACUGGUAUCUAUGGUAUGGACUUCUACGUUGUUCUUGAGCGUGCUGGCUACCGUGUUUCCCGCCGCCGCAGAUGCAAGGCCCGCGUUGGGAUCCACCAGAGGGUCACCAAGGAGGACGCCAUGAAGUGGUUCCAGGUCAAAUACGAGGGUGUCAUCCUCAACAAGUCCCAUGCGAGCUAAGAAGAACACCAAGUUGAUUAAACUAGUGUUGAUGCUGGAUUUGUAUGUUUCUUAGAAACCAAAAUGCUUUGUCAGUUUUGCCUGUACUGAAGUUGGAUAUUUUCGGGUGGUCUGCACUUUCGUCUAAAAUGCUCACUUGUGUUUUAUCCUUGCAAGAAUAGAGAUAUAUGUUUGGCAUAUGGGAUAAGAUGAACUGCCGUUGUUUGGUCCCUCCUGAAUUCCAUGCACAGCCGUGGUGAAGUCUUUUUGAGUCAGAAAAGGAUGAAAGCAACAAACGCCAUGAAAAAUGAUUCGCAACGUAUGAUGUAUUUGCAUUUGCCACCUCCAAACCUUCAUUUUCAAUGAUUAUCUACUUAAGAUACCUUCAUUUUCAAUGAUUGUCUACUUAAGAUUUUAAUUAUGAUUGAUAAACAUGAGUAAAGAUACGAAACAUAUUCUAUAAUUUGUCACAUAACCGUCGCUACCAAUAACUAGUCGCUCCCAGUAGGCCGGCAAUUUGCGUCAUGUGAGACGCACAACAGUUUAAGGAUGAGCUAGCACUAAAGGUUGGCGGCCACAGUAAAGAAGAAAAUCACGGAGAAGCUUACAGGAAGAGAUUAGUACCGAACCACCCAAAAGUCUGUCCAACCAAGGAACCCUUUGACAGAGACAUCGAUCCCCUCGCGAGGCGACGGCCGAAUCCCCAAAAUGGCCACGGGAAACCUAUGCACGGUGGAGAAGCGCGGCCGCGUGCACCUCAUCACCAUCACCGGCGCCGGCGACCACCGCCUCGGCCCACCCCUCCUCUCGGCCCUCCGCUCCGCCGUGGCCGCCGUCCGCGCCUCCUCGGGCGCCGGCGCGCUCGUCAUCGCCGCCGAGGGCAAGUACUUCUCCAACGGCUUCGACCAGGCCUGGGCGCGCACCGUCCCGCGCCGCCUCCAGACCUCCAUGAGCGAGGCCUUCCGGGGCCUCGUGGCCGACCUCCUGGCGCUGCCCAUGCCCACGGUGGCCGCCGUCACGGGCCACGCCGCCGCCGCCGGCUGCGCGCUGGCGCUCGCGCACGACGCCGCCGUCAUGCGCGCGUCCCGCGGGUUCCUGUACAUGAGCGAGGUCGACGCCGGGAUUAAGAUCGUGGACUACUUCGCGGAGCUGCUCCGGCAGAAGGUCCCCGACGCGGCGACCCGGAGGGACAUGGUCCUGAGGGGGGACAAGAUGACGGCGGCGGAGGCGGUGCGGCGCGGCGUGGUGGACGCCGCGGCGGACGGCGGCGUGGAAGACGUGGUGGACGCGGCCGUCGCGGCGGCCGAGGCGCUCGCGGCGAGAGGGUGGGACGGUGAGGUCGUGGCCGAGAUCAGGAAGGCCAUGUGGCCCGCCGUCUGGGACAAGGUGAAGGACUACGGCGCCGAGGCGGCGGCCGCGCGGCCGCGGCUCUAGCCUCUCUGUUCCGGCUUGCCGAUCACUCCCCUGGUGCAGUCUAGGUGUGGCCUGAUAUAUAUUGCUCUGUAUUUACAGCAUGUUGUAGAUCGAGCUGGGAAUUCUACUUAGGAACAGAAUGGGAUUGCUCGAGACAGGAACUAAGUAAAGAUCACAGGUUAUUUCCUAUGGCUAUGGGGCAUUAGCUAGUGUGAUGUAACGUUCUAUUUGGUACCCAAUUGCCGUGAACAUUCGGAGGACAUUAGCAUUGGUGUUUCUCUGUCAGAUUGCAUCCUCGUCAGUCAGCAUCUAGUUUCGCUCAACACUUCAGGCAAACACUGAUACGCAACAGAAACAUGGACAUCUUGGCAGGGCGGCCUCACCUGAUCAUCCUCCUGGCUGGCGCCGGUGCCCGCGGCAACUGCCCCUGGCGCAACGGCAAGGUCGGUAAGCAAGGUACACAUGUACCCGGGAUCACAGCUUCGGCCUUCGGCUUCCCAAUUGGUGUGAAAAUAAGCUAGGUACGGAUUAACAAACUGCUAGGCCCAUUAAGUUCGUAAAGAUUAACAAAGGGCGUGUUUGGUUUCGAAGACGGACGCGGGCUGCAUCGCAGCCGGGCUACGGCACGAGGGAUGUAUGCACCGGGGGUGCGAGCUGGCACUGCAGCAGUGUGUUUGGCUUCGCUGCAUCCGGGGCGGGAGCAGCCAGUGAGCAGAGCGUCGAGGAGGACAGAAAGGGAGCCGCGGAGGUCGGGGCCGCCGUCGCUGGCGGCAAUGGAGGGCACGAGGAAGAAGGGGGUGCCCUCGCCGAGGAGGACGGAGAGGGAGGCACGGAGGUCGGGGCCGUCGUCGCUGGCGGCGAUGGAGAAUGAAGAUGGGAGCGGCCUCGCCGAGCCCUAUGUCGCCGGCGCCCUCGCCGUCGCUGCGGCCGUCGACAGAGAGCGGAUCUUGCCGACGGUGGGCAAGACUGGGGCAGGGAAGGCAGCAGCGGGCAGGAUACGGCGGGGGCAGAGGAGAACGACGGGAGAGUUAGAUGUGAAACGACUGAAAGAGCGCUGCACGAGAAAAAUGGCCAAAUCGGCCGUAGCCUGGAUGCGGGAUGAGAGGCCUCUUUUUGCAGAUGGGCUGCAGGUGCAAACUAAGGCCCAGGCAACCAAACCUCCUGAAACUUGCAUUGCGGGUGCGGGCCAAAUGCGGUGCACUCGACCAAACACCCCCAAACUGAACCUCUUGUGCGAACUCAGUUCAUUAAGAACUACGUUAAAUUCAGGUCGUUCAUGAGCGCUCGUUAAGAUAUACUCUGCAGGCAUAGCCGGCUAGCCGCACAGGGCACAGCCACACCAAUACAACAAAAUCACAACUACAGAAAGCAGCUUCAGCACAACUAUGCAAGUUAGCACUAUGCAGCAGCACUGCAGGCAAGCGGCAGGCCAGGAACACUCCACCGGCACGGCAGGACAGCACACCGAACGCUAUCAAAAAGUGCUGGGCUGAUUAGUGGUUGCCAUCGAUUUGGUGUACUGUGUUUUAAGUCAGUUCUUAAAUUGUGGGUCUGGUGACCAUGAGUGGAGCAAUUGAAAAGAAGAGACGGGCUGCGAACCUUCGAUUGAGAUUAGAACUCAGGAAGAGAAAUGCUGGGCCGGCCGGCUGAGGGCUGCUCGAGCUGCCCUCUUACAUGGGCUGAGUUCACUCGGCUUCUAGAAAAAUAACAGCUGCUCAUGAAACUCGUUUGCUUACAUGUUAGCGUUAACGAGUAAAAAUGACCAAUUGGCACAGUAUGUUAGCAACAGCGCCAUAGAAAUAGUCAAGCCGCCCUGUGCUCGAUCUCACAGUUCCUAAAAACAUGCAUCAUAACAAGGAACCAGACCAUGUAACAGAAGACUAGUCAUUGCGACUGGGCGACGACAUUUACAUCAGGUAGUAGAACCGACAAAACAGGGAGUGCGGCUACACAAGCUGCACGGCAAUACUACUAAGCAGUACAAAAAUGGCAAGAUCAACAGGUCACAAGCCCUAGCAUUAACAUGUCUUCACCAACCUACAUCAUUACCUUACCUAAAAAUAAGUAAUAACUCGACCAACAUGCGCCGUCACAUACUUAACAACGGCAGCAGCAACAAACAUCAAUUCUUCACGGUCAGAUAAUUUACAUAAUUGUACUCUCCUUUCUCUGGCACUGGAUCGGUCUCUCCACUGGCUUUAGGAGAGUGGCUUCGAAGAUGGGGCGAUCUGAGCCUGCGCAUGCGCAGCUCACGGAUGAAGAACCAAAAAGUUGAGGGUUGCAGCACGGUUUCUAGCUCCCAGAAUGCGCGAAGUUGAGGCUAUUUUGCCGUCGAACAUGUUCUGGGAUUAGCCUGUUGAUAAGCUCCAGAGAGGCGUUUACUAGCUGCAUGCCAGAAAUAAUGAGCAUUGAUAAGCACAACAGCAUAUCAAGAGCUAGCCCAAGAGGGUUCUUUCCAGGCUAGCAAUGACAACGCACAGCACAGCAAUCAUAAUUAUUGAACUGAUACAAUGUUGAAUGAGCCAUGUGCCCAUGUGCCUGGAACUAAAUAUUGCUUUCUUUUUUAGCAACUUAAAUGGUUGUUGUUUGAACAGUGCCUCGUUUACUUACUUCAGGCUUGAAGUUGAACAGAGGGGGGAAUGGACGGCCAUUCGGCAAGCGUGCAUUUGGCUCACGUAGCUCAUCGAAGAAGGAAUGUGCACAUGCAUCAAGCUGCACACAAGCAACCAAACACAUAAGAACAAUUUAAAAUUGAACAGAUAACUAUGCUGAAGAUAUGAUGUUUUCCAGCUAUAGUAUCAGCAUUAAACUUUUUUGCAGUGUAGCUCUAAAAACUGUAGUUAACAAGCACAUGCCACAAUACAAUGCUCCACCCACUCUUAUGAGUCAACACUCGUCAACAUUUGGUUCGGGACCACUAAAUAUCAUAAUUCUACAGCAUGGACCAGAAGCUAACAAAAUAUUGCAAGCUAAGCAUUAUGAACCUACUCUGCAGAAGCAGCUCUUUUCAUUGGCCAUAAUGGAUGACUUGUAUCAUUAUUUUCUAAAAGAAAGAAAAAUAGAAAUUGACUGUGACGAAACAUCUGAAAAUGAAUAGCGAAAAUAAGCAAAUACAUACGGCUAUAUGAAAAUAAAACAGCCUUAACUUGGUACGACACCCAAAUUUGUGUCACCGAAGUGCAACCAACAGUGUUAAAGACAGACCCGGAAGUAAUCCAAGAAAAAGAACUUACAGCAGUGCACCGUAGACUUGGUGAAUAUUGGAGAAGACGAGAGGCAAGAUCUAUGGCUUCAGCAGGCAUUCUCUUGUGGAAAAUCUGGGGGAGGGAAAGUAGAGGAAUCAGUUAGCAACAGGCACAAUUUAAAUUCACAACUUAUAGAUGAUGUAGAGGCUGGUAAUUAAACCAACCCCACAAGAAGAUGCUGACUACAAUACCCUGAAAGUAAAAUAGGCACGAGGCAGGUAAUCCAACAUAAGAUUAAACAUAGAAAUACCUUGUGCCAAGGAUGAGCCUUUAUCUGAGGAAAUCUGAACUCGGUGUAGUUAGGGUUCAUGCAUCGUAUUUCCUCACGUGUUGGAGUACCAAGAACCUGCAAUAAUAUCACAUGAACUUUAAGAAACAUUCAUAGCACAAGAAAAUAAUGUGGCAAGCAGAACAUUUUGCAGUACCUUGAUUAUCUCCACUAACUGAUCAACCGCGGUCUCUCCUGGAAACAGAGGCUGGCAAUACAACACGCAAGAUGAUCAGAAUCACCCCAAAGAUAACAUGGUCUAAUCAACACACCAGAAAAACGUUGAAAGUCCUUGACAAGGUAACCAACCUGGCCAAGAAGUAACUCUGCAAGAACACACCCGGCUGACCAUAUGUCUAUGGAAGUUGUAUAUUCAGUUGCACCGAAUAUGAGUUCAGGGGCGCGAUAAUAGCGAGAGCAUAUGUAUGAUAUAUUAGGUUCCCCAGGUACCUGCCACAACAAAACAGAGAUGAACAGUUGGGGUUAAAAUCAAUGAGUGAAAAUAACGGAAAUGAAGAGAAAGGUUAAUGCAGGUUUAGUUAAAAAAAAUAGCAUAUUGAUGAUACAUGUAAAGAUAAUGGCAUAAUCACACGCUAUUUCAACAGUAUGCCUGGUCCACCUCUACAAAAUUUCAAAGAUAAAUUCAACUACUGAUUCAAGAGGGAAAUCAACAUACCAGAACUUUUGCACUUCCAAAGUCACAGAUCUUGACUUGGUGAGUUAGAGGAUCAACCUGUAUUGGCAAGAGAAGAGACCAAUUCAGAACCAACUACCAAAUCUUAGAAAACACUACAUCAUGUUCACAUAAGGCAUACCAGAACAUUUUGUGGCUUCACAUCCCUGUGGCAAACUCCUGGAACAGCAUGAAUGUAAGCCAGCCCUCUAAAAAGCUGCAAACUUGGUAGAAGAAUCCUUAGAAAGGCAAUAAAGAAUAUAGGCAGGGAGGCAAUUGCUGAUAUUGUCGGUUCACAGACCUGAUACAUGUAAAGCUUGACAUAGAUAAGCGGCAUCCGCUGGUUGGCAUUGCUGUAGUGUUUGAGCACACGGUAUAGAGUCUCAGGUACAUACUCCAUGACAAGGUUCAAGAACAGCUCAUCCCUGCUCGUGGUAGAGAAGAAGCAGUGCUUCAGAGAGACUACAUUGGGGUGGUCCAUGGAGCGCAUAAGCUGCAGCUCACGGUUCUUGUAACGCCGGUCCUGCAGCACCUUCUUGAUGGCCACGGUCUCCCCUGUCUCCAAGCACUUAGCCUGCAUAGUCAAUUUGAUAAACAUUGAGUCAACUAAUGUUCAACACAUAAAAAGCAAUAGCAAGACCUCGGGCCGUACCUGGAAAACAAUCCCAAAUGAACCAGUUCCUACUACUCGCUCGGCCAUGUAGCUAAUUGUCUGCAAUCAGAAUUAAAACAACACAUAUGAGUAUUCUGGUUUCAGAUGAGACCAUAAACAAUAAUUAGCUCAGAUUGAAUACUGCACACGAGUUGUAAGAUUUCAGUCAUUGCACAACCAACUAGGAUUAGAAGCUGAGAAUUAUUCUCUAGAAACAACAACUGAGUACUAAACAAGCAGUGAAUAGCAUUUGAAAUGGGCACUUUCGCCACUUAUGGUUAGCAAGCACUAAAUCGAGCGGUAAACACACAAUUUCACUGCCACAUACCAAACAAUUUGUAAAUCGGGAAAAAAAAACACUACAAAUGAUAGCUGGCUCAGAUUGAUUACUGCACAUUAGAGUUGCAAGAUAACAACCACCUGAUAAUUAUCUUCUAGAAACAACAAAAUAAGCACUACACAAGCAAUGAAAAGCAUUCCAAAAUGUGUCUUCCCCGUAAUACGGUUAGCGAAAACUAAAUCAAGCGGUAGCCACACAAUUUCGCUGCCACAUACCAAACAGUUUGUAAGAUUUCAGUCAUUGCACCACCAACUAGGAUUGGAGGCUGAGAAUUAUUCUCUAGAAACAACAACUGAGUACUAAACAAGCAGUGAAUAGCAUUUGAAAUGGGCACUUUCGCCACUUAUGGUUAGCAAGCACUAAAGCGAGCGGUAAACACACAAUUUCACUGCCACAUACCACACAAUUUGUAAAUCGGGAAAAGAAAACACUACAAAUGAUAGCUGACUCAGACUGAUUACCGCACAUUAGAGUUAGUAUCCUCUAGAAACAACAAACUAAGCACUAAACAAGCAAUGAACAACAUUCCAAAACGUGCCUUCCCCAUAAUACAGUUAGCAGGCACAAUCAAGCGGUAUCCACACAAUUACACUGCCGCAUACCAAACAGUUUGUAAAACGAAAAACAAAAACUAAUUUCUUGUCAACCAAACCCACAAAUUUAGCCACGUCACUAAGGACUUGAUUGGAUUGCGUCCUGGUGUGUUUCUAGCCUGGCCUGAUGGCAGCUGGACAUGUGACGGCAAGAUGUUUGGUUCGCGUCCAUCCAGGCAGCAUGCGCCUGAGUCAGGCCAGCGAAAUCGGUCGCCUGAGCACGCCUGGUUUGACCGCCACUAACUCGCCUGACCAGGCAGCAAUUUUCGUCAGGCAUCUUGUCCAGGCCUCCAACCAAACAGCCCCUAACUUCCGGGACGAAUCAACACCAGGCCACCAAAUUCCAUCCAAACGACACUACUGGAUGCCUCUUGCUUCACUACCGCCGAGCUAUGUCCCGUUCAUCUCAACUACCAUAUGCGUUAACAUUGACUAGAAUGUAACAUAAUGGCAUGGCAUGCUUAAAACAGCACAGGAAGACGUACAAAGACACACUAGUCAUGCAACGACACUGCAAAAGUCGAUAAACUUAGAGAAAACGGAGCUCUAGCAGCUAAUUCUGCUAGGGAACACAAAUCCCUUAGCAGCGGCAACAGAUGAUGCCGCCCACAACAUAACAGAGCAAGGAAACCACUGUAGGAAGAAAAGGGCACAUUCGGCGGUACACCGGCGCGAGAGCGCGAGACCGGGACCCCAAGCUAGCUAGCUGCUCACCCGCUUUGGCUCGCCGUUCUUCCCGCCGAUGGUGGUGGAGAUGAUGUGGCCGGUGACGGGGUCGCCCCCCUCCUCCUUCCUCUGCAGCUCCAAAAACGCCCAAAAUCAGCCAAGCAAGCACCCAGAGCAGCGGAUCGGCGGCGAAACCCAGCUCAGAUCCAGCGCAGGGCACCAGAUCUGGAGGGAAAGCAAAGGAAAAAAAACGGCGGGUACCUUGUCGCCGACAGCGGGGCCCGCGACGGCGGCGCCUGGCGGGGGCGCGUCGAGCGCCAUGGCCUCCGACCCCGGCGGCGCCUCCAUGGGUCGGUCGGGGUUGCGUGUGCUCCGCAGCAGCAAGGGCGAGGGGGGGGGGAAGGAAGGAGGGCGACGCGCACACACCACCUACAACAGCUUGCUGCUCCUGCUGCGCUCUCCUACUUCUCUCCGCUUGGCUUUGUUUUGCCUUUGCGUUGGGGGUUGGGAAUGGGAUGGUGGCUGGCUGCGCGCUUUGCUUUUGACCGGUCUGUCUGGGGUGUGGGGUGGCGUGUCGUGGGGCUGGCUAUGAGUACCGGAUGCCGCUUUGGACAAACCGGGGAAUUCGGGAAAUGGAUGAUUUAUCUUUGGUGAAUUUUUAAGUGCCGCUUCAGUUUAGUGGAAGAUAAACCCGGUCGAAAGUGGAAACGGUCGGCCACGUCAGUUUUGCUGUUACUGCUAGCAGAGUUUUAGUUUCCUGUUCUGGAAACGAUCGGUGUCAAAACUAGUUCAUUUUAAUGGCGGGGUCGUUUUCAGUGACAUGUGUCAGCAGGAGGUUCGUUAGAUGAUGGAUAAGGACGGGUUAUCGCCGUUUUACAGAAUAAACGUAAAGGGCAUAGUCAAUAUGCUUCUUUUAAAGGCAAAAUGCGUUGUUGUUGUCCUCGUUGUUUUGCUGAUUUUCUGGGACACGUGUUUAUCAUCUUGGAUAAAUCGGGAUGAAAUGCUCUUAGUAAGCGUGGUAAUCUGUUGAGACGGGUUACGCGUGGAGACGAGAAAUAUCAUCUCGCAAUUUGGAAAGCUUGGUACAAGGCAUGCUUUGAUCGCCGCAUAAAAUUUAUCCUGGAAUAGCGAUAUCGAAUAUAUAUCUCUAUAGUAUGUAUUAAUCGAUUGACUAUUAAUUAGAAGUUAUCCGGCAAUUGAUACAUGUCGGAUGACGGCUGGCACGUUAUGUGGACAAGAAAUGAUUAUCUCGCUUAAAGGAAUAAAAACAUAAGGGCGUAGUCAUUACUCAUUACUUUAUUUUAGCAAAAAAUAGAUUGUUUUUGUUUUUAUAGAUUUUAGGAAUGCAUAUUUUUCAUGUACUCUCUCCGAUCCAUAUUAAUUGUCGAAAUAUUACAUGUAUAUAGAUGUUUUUUAAACACAAAUACAUCCAUAUUUGGGCAAAUUUGAGACAAGUAAUAUGGAUCGAGCGAGUAUACUACUACGGAAAAUUUUAGGAUGAUUUCACAUAUGUGUGAUGUGUGCUAACAGGUUAACACAAGAAAAAGGUGGGUCACCCAUGGAGAACUUCAAUAUCAUCAAUAGAAUUUGAAAAUAUAGUAAGGAAAGCAGUAUAGCUAAAGGAGAACAAGUACCGCAUUUUUGCUUCAUCUUUAAUUCAUGGCAUGCUUUGAUCAAGGUAUAAAAUUUAGAGUGAAAUAUACUGGAAGUUAUAAGAGUAUUGUAGGGCUGGAAGUUAAAGGACAUGGUCAAUAUGUUUGUUUUAGUGGCAAAAUGCGUUCUUUUAUAGAUUGCUGGGACUCAUGUUUACCGUCCAGGAUAAACCGGGGUGAAAUUUCAUUAGCAAGUGCGCUAACCGGUUGUUGCAAUUUACGUGCGGAGACGUGAAAUAUCAUUUCGCAAUUUGGGAAGUUCGGUACAAGGAAUGCUUUGAUCGCGGCAUAAAAUUUAUCCCGGGAUAGUGAUAUCGUAUUUCAUGUAUCUGUAUAGUAUGUAUUAAUCGAUUGCCUAUCAAUCGGAGACUAUCUGGCAAUUGAUACUCGUGGGGCGACAGUUGGCUCUUUAUGUGGACGAUAAAGGAUUAUCCUUAUGUUGUUUUGUUUUACAGAUUCUUGGAAUUCAUAUUUUUCAUGUUUAGUACUGUGGAAAAUUUUAGGGUGAUGCUUCGCUAAUACGUGUGCAAUGUGCUUAUCUGUUAACGCAAAAGGAAGUUUGGUGAGGAAAAGGUAUAGUAUUAAGUGAAGGGGCGCGUAGAGAUAAACAAAAAAAAAAUCCUACGCGAACUCCCAAGAUCUAGCCAAGGUAGAAGGCCACGAGGAUUACCACUAGACGCGCGGUUGCGGAUUAUUGAUGCAGCGCCUUGAUGCAGUGCGGUCCCUCGAUCCGAUCCAGCCGAUCCAAUCCCGCGACCGUCGAAGUGCUGAACGUACAGCACCUCUGCCGGUAUCCACACGUGCGAGGAGGAGCUCCGGCGGCGGACUGUUAGGUCCGGUGCGACGGUUGGACUGAAUGGGGCUAGGGUUCUCAACGCAUGAGAGCGGCGAACCGUGCCCCUUAGGCAUCCCACGCCCCUGCUUAUAUACCGAGUGGAAGUGGGCUCCAGCACUUGUGGCCCAUCCACUCUGCGAGUCCAACUCGCAUUGUCAGUCCAUUUCCGGUUCGGGUCCAACCCGACCAAAUACUUGCUCCCGCUCUUAACUGUGUGACCCCGCAGGCUUAUGGCGACUUGGACACGAUUGGAGUCCGACUCUCAAUCGAUUAAUCGGCAGCGGCUCCUAGCAGAACGUGCCGACUCCCAAGUACCAUCGAGUCAUGACGACGUACCUUCCAAUGUGACAUACGUCUUAGUCCCUUUUGCCUCACGAUAUACCUUGUCGAACUAUAGGCGAUUAAUCGUCAUCCUUUUAAUAGUUCAACUCUCUUCUCGAUCUGUGAUAUACGAUUCAUCCGACUAACUCUUAGUCGAUCGACCCGGUUAACAGUUAACCGAGUCGCGCAUGGCCAUGCUUCCCGAAUCAUAUCACUCGAGAGGGCCCAGAGAAUAUCUCUCCAGUCGGAGGGGCAAAAUCCCAUCUUGGUUAUCCACAUCACACAGCUUGAUUCUCAGUCAACCCGAACUCUGCCUUUAUAACUGCCCUGUUACGGAACAACGUUUGACAGAACCUAAGUUGGUGAUCCACAACUCGGAUUGUGCGAUAACCUCAGGUCUAAGGAUUACAUUGAUUGAGACAUGCAAAUGACGACCUACUCGUUACAUCUCAAUAUGGGUCAGUCCGACUCGCUAAACUCUUUAGCCGAGUCCGUGUAAGCUGGAAUGACAUCACCAUGCCCAUGACAAGUGGGACUGAGUCAUCAACCAAAUUUCACAUUAGUCUAGGUUAUGUGUCCAGCACAAUCUCAAUGACUAAGGACAAUUUAGUAUGAACAACAUGAAUACAUAGUUCCACAAUCAAAUCACAUAUUCAAUUAUACAUAUCAGAUGUUCAAAUAAAGACAACUUAAUAAUCUUUAUGAAUACAUUGGGAAUUACAUCAUAUAUGAUUGCCUCUAGGGCAUAUUCCCAACAUUAAGGACAACAACUACUACAUUUCGUUUCAUCUUUCUUCAAAGCAUGGUUUGAUCACGGUAUGAAAUUUAGAGUGAAAUAUAGUAUUGUAGGGGUGUCAAGAUACGCUUAUUAGUACAAAUAUGCAUAUUUGAAUCCUAAAACUACGCUAAGUAAGUCAUCAGAGCUCAUAUCCCGCAUGCCUCGUGAGUUGACCGCCGCAACAUGUGAUAUAUUUUACAGAAGACUUCCUAAAAAGCCACUUCUCAUUUUGCGCCCUCUCUACACCAUGUUUCCCGACUCAAGCUCGGCUGGGCUCGCCAGCGUGUGUGAGCGAGAUGCAACCACAUGAGUAGGCAAAGCUUAGGGCGUGUACAAUGGGGUGACGUCAGUCUUUUCGUAAGGCUGCCAAGUAGGAUAAUUGCUGACGUGGAAGAGAGAGGGUUGAAGUAAGGCAUGAGCAUUAUCUUAGCUAAGAGAUGAUCUCUUCAUGAGAAGGACAAGACAAACAAAAGUCAAAUUUCUCACUGUACUAGAUUUCACCUUUCUUAACAUUUAUUUGAUUAAUUUAUUCAUUUAGGCAUUAAUCGUAAGAUAUGACGCUAAGAGAUGAUCUAUUGUACAACAUGAUUUAUUGUCUUAUCUAAAUGGCGUGUAACACAUGAGAGAAGACAGCCUUAUCAACCACUGUACAUGCCCUUAUGUGAUUCAGGCAGGACAUCAGAUGGUAUGCUUACUAUACUUUCGAGGCCUGGACCCACAUUUUAAUAGUAUUAUGACUAAGUUCGCACCACUAAAAAUACUAUAAACACUUGCACACAUUUCACUCUAAAUGUCAUCCCAAGAGGGCAUGUCCUCUUUAUUGUGCAUUAACCAACUACAUUUUUUAUUUAUCACUUUGCUUAAGCUGUAGUGAUUUUUCGGUUAUGACAACAUCUGUUUCGUCUUAAUUCAAGACAUGUGUUUCUCAUGGUAUAAGCAUUAAAUAUACACAUAUACCUACACACUAAAACGCCUCUAGAUGUAUGCAUAUUUCUGUCCAAACAAAGUUGCAACAAUUAAUAUGGAACGGAGCGAGUAUUUCGUAAAAAAAAACCUUUUAAAAUGUUCCCACUUCUCAUCUGAUAGCCCUCUCUGCGGAUGUGUAUGGAUUGAUAAUGGUACACCCGACGAAACCCGUUUCGAUGACCGUGUAGAUGGGAGCAACAAGAGUAUUAGGAAAGGAGCGGAUGCCACAAACUGCCGGGCGAAUCGAACGGAUGUGAAGGAAUUUGACAAACCAGAGAAAGCGGAGCGCGUCCCGGCGUGAGACGAGAUGCGGCCCACCAAGUGAGCAAUACGAUAAAGGUAAGCGUCCUGACUAGGGUGUUUUCUCUAGAAUUUUUAGACCCUUACGCAUUACUUUAACAAUUCAAGUGUUCUAACCACAUGAUGCAGUUCUUAAGUGUGCUAACCACAUAAUAUAAUUCGGGUUAUACCACACUUAUAAGAAUUUUAUGCAGAGUUGUUCAAUGCACGUCGUUUCAGACAUAGAAAUUGGAACACAAAUUCCUGAAACCCGCAGGAAAUGAUCAAAAAACCGGAACUAACUAUUUUGGCAUGAAUGCAGACCAGGUCCUUGAAUUCGACCGCAGCCUGAUUCCAACCAGAAAAAAACCCACCAAGCUCAUGCCUCCGUACCUCCGGACGGUGUGCCCGCCCGAACCGAUUCACGAACGAGCCAGACUCAGCCGCGGCGUGGCAAUCAAAACUCAAAAGACAAGAGUGGAUUGGAUCGCCGGGGAGCCUGCGCGCGGGGUGUCCGGUGCUCCGACAGCGCGGCCCGCCCUUGACCCUCAUCCGCCAUUUCUUUAACCCAAGCUACUCCUACGGCCUAGAGACGGAUGGGGCUCCGGUCCGGUCCGGUCCGAUUAUUAUUUCGCAGCAGCGUAGCGCCCCAUAAAUUAUUUGCGUUCGUCCUUGGCGCUGGCCAUCCCGUCGCGCCACAUGCAUGCUGGCCUCUGCCCCGCGCUGUGCGGCACGGCAUCGCCACCGACCGUUGCUACUUACUCACUGCUCGUCCCGUCCAGUCGGCCUCUGCCUCUGCCCGCGCUGUACCCCGCGCCACGCCGUAUGCACAUACACCACGCGCUUGACACUUUGACCGCUGAGAACCCUUAAAGAACGAAGAAAUUAACACCGGGCUAAUUGUUCUGCAUUCAUUCGAUGGUCCUGCCUGCGUCUACUACGAUUCCGCAUAUGCCUCCGACAGUCUGAUCCGUCGCUAGCAGCCAACGCUACAGCCAAGCCAUCAUCUGCAGAGCCGAUCUACUGAUCAUAAACUCAUCCUUCCUUCCUCCCUGUUUACCGACUGCGUCUACUGCGUCUAGCUUUCGGCUCUGCGCCGCGCUGCUUCCCAUAAGCUAGGCUCGUUGUUAAUCCCGCCGAGAACUUGGACCCUUUCGGAAAACCCGGAACGGCAGGGUACUACUACCAGGAGUAGCUAGCCACGCGAUGACCGAGAACCGGGUAGGUUUUGACCGCCUCCAGAGUCCAUCCAGACGACGCCUGCAGCGCCCUGGCAUUGGCAUUGCAUUGCUUGCCCUGGGUUCGGUAAACCUGCCGCGCCGUCCCUCCCUGCCGCAAGCUAUUCCUAGACGACCUGACGCACGCAACGGGGCGCUGAGCCGCUGACGUUACCACUCGACCGGCCGGCCGGCCGGCCGCCUUGACUUGACCGGCCGGGAGCAGAGCAGCUGGCUUGCCUUGCCGACCUAGGCAAAAUUCAGCAGUGGUGACGCUGUAUGUACUGCCUGGGUACUAUCGAGACAUGGAAAACUAACCACGUUCAACGCGCAGUAGUGCCCCUGUUUUCCUCUGAUUAAAACCGUUUGCCGCGCACCGUUCUCUAUCAUUCCUGGAAUGCCAUGCGUUUCCGAUAGCGAUUUUUGCUACGAAUAGAGAUUUUCUUCGAUUCGGCUGAGUCCACUGAGAACAUGGAAAUUAAUAUUCGUGCAAGCAAAAGAGACGGUCUCGAUUGAACGGCUAUCUUGCAAUUUAUUUCCGUCGAACCAGCAACAUGCUCUUCCUUCCAAAUCUCGUACUCAUAGUACUGUGAUGAGCUUGACUAGGCUGGUCGUCUUUUUUGUUCUUCUGUACUAGUACUAGUACUACAAAAAGAUUAACGGAAAAAGGGGUGUUCUCGUUCUGAUGAAGCAUACUCAACGGCUGCACCGCUCCUCUUUCAGUGCUGCGCUCGAAUGAUUGAUGGCCAAGCUCGUCUCGUCCCCAUUAUUAUUCUUUUCUCCAAAUAGAAUACGGGGUACGUUCGAUGGGGAUUCGGGAGCAGUAGUAAGAUUUUUAACACGCUGGACGCAAUUAUCAGCGAACAGGAAGGAAGACGGUGCCAUGUGGUGGGCCAGGGAAUGCCCUCGAGACGCAGAUACAGGACACAGAUGGUGUCACAUCCAACAUUGACCAAAAUAGGGAACAAGGGACCUCAAUCAUGCUGUGUCGUCCGUCGAUGAUCAGCUUUGUUUGCCGUUCCCAUCCAAAAAACCAGCGAGGCUUUUGCUAAUUGGGCAGAGCAAUGGGACGGAGGACGUUAACUACGGAGAAGCUGCUCCAGACAGAGGAAAACAACAAGCUCGUAGACUUUGGCCUAAUUUGGAGUACUAGCACGUUGCUGCUAAAAAUCUUCUUCGUUUCCAAACGGAAGAUGAUGUUCUUUUUUGCCAGGUUUGAGGGCUUUUUUUGGCCCUUGCAUUCAUUUUGUUAAAUUUAAAGUUUUGUUAUUAACACUUAUAUUUUACACCAUAUACUCCCUAGAACAAACUCAAUUGGACACAUAUGGGUCUUCUUAGAACAAACUCAUGUUUAUGGUAACUUUGUCUAGUGUUAGGCACAGUGCAAAACUGCAAAUGAGUCCGUGCAUGAUGCAUGUAACGGUUUGAGUGUAUGUAAGCGCACGCAUCCUCUCGCUGUUUCAGAAAAUAAAGAACUUGCGGAUGAGAAAAUAGUUUUUGUUUUUUGAGAAAAGGAUGGAAAAAAAAAAGAUUUGCAAGAAGAAAGCUCGGUAGACAACAUGGGCUCUGUAAUCAGAAUUGGCCCGGGCUGGUUGGACCACAGGGCCAAUUUCAUGGCUGAGCCCGUGACUGCGAAAUGAGUCAUGUAUUCUCCAUUAUUCCUUACAGCCUUCUGCGCUGCUGGUCAUCCCCAAAUGCAGUACUCCGUUAAAUGUAAAUACCACAUUUGGCCCUUCAAGGAAAUGUAAAUGCCGCAUUUAUAAUAAUAUAUGAAAGUACAACCGUAAAUGAAAUUUGUUGAAGUGCAAAUGAUACACUCCGAGUUCAGUAAAACACAAACCACAUUUCGUAAACAGUUGACUAUCUGUCACACAAUUUUUUAGAAUGUAACACUCCCCGUUAGAAAGGAAAACCCAAGAAUUGCCCGAUUUAAAAUGUGUAGGUGAUAUUAUUAUUGAUUGUGUCAUCAACACUUGUUCUGUGGAAAAAUGUAGGAUACAUUUUGACUGUCUGAAUUUUUUUUCUGAUCAAUGAAUAAAAUUCUAACAAUAUGUGAGUUAUGCCACAUACAUUUUGUGGCAGUUGAAUUUUUGAUUAUGUGUAUUCCGAUAGAAAAUAUAACAGAAGUUCAGAAUAAGAUAGGAAAAUAUAAAAGUUGAACACUAGAGAUGUUAGACGCACCGUCAAUGUGAAUUGUGCGUAGCUCGAGGGGCUUGGUUACUUGUAGUGGAACAAUUCCACCUAAGUUCAACUUCUAGACAUGAUAUACUUUUACAUUUAAAUUUCAUUAAUUAGCCGGCGAUAUACUUCCAGUAGCAGGUGAUGUUAUCGUUAACUUGAAGAUCGACCAACUCAGUCUUUUCAAGGUGCUUACAGUGGUGAGUGUACAUUACAUAGGCAAUGGACGGAUUUGAAGUUGGACUGUGACCCAGAGCCUCGCCCGGGCGGCGCGGGUGAACAACAGGUGAAGUGAUCAUCACUGAUCUGAUGUUCCGACUUUCGACUUCACCCAGUAGCACGGGUCCGUCCGUUUGUCCGGACGUGUGGCAACUUGGGGACGUGCCGACUGAUCGAUUGAUGCUAGCUCGACGGUGGUUGGUGCCACAUGCAUUGCCAUGCACGCGACAUUCCUCCGGUGGCCACUCCAUAGGGGCUCGUCGCGCUGGCGCGAAUCCACGGGCGACGAAACCCGCUGGAUCGCCGAGGUUGGUUUCCGUCCGGCUCGUGCUCCAUCGAUCUGUCCGUGGACACGCCACUCGAGCAAACCAACAAACCGAACCCACGUGUCAGCUGUCACCUUGCAAGAAUACCGAUCGACGACAACGUCCUAUCCGAGCUUCCCCUGGCAGUCGAUCUGUACCACUCCAGUUUAUAGCAGUAAAACAGCACACAGACAAUCUUCUGCGGUUUCACACGUUACGCUUCAGUACACCACUUCGACGUCCAAUUUUCGGUUUCGACUCUGCAUGCGCGACACACAAUCACACGCUUACGCCGAGCAAACCAAGAAUCCAAGGGUACGCGCCGUGUGAGCCGCAGGUUUUCCCGUCUCUGGCGCUGCCCCUCGCCUGUCCUAUAUGAGCCCGCGGCGCGGGCUUUACACCUUGUGUUUUCUGUAAGACUGUAACACUUGAGCCUGUCACUCCGAGAUGACUAGCAGAGCGUCAGUGACGGCGGGAGCGCGCGUCGUCGCAGUUGUUCUGGCCGCGGCCGUCGUGGCGGUCGGCGGGCAGCUAAUGCCGGGGUUCUACGACGCGACGUGCCCGGGGCUGCCGUCCUUGGUGCGCCGCGGCAUGGCGCAGGCGGUGCAGAAGGAGGCGCGCAUGGGCGCCUCCGUCCUCCGCCUCUUCUUCCACGACUGCUUCGUCAAUGUACGUCACUUGCUAUACACAUCCGAUCAAGUCGCAUCCAAAUGCACGUUACGUACCGUCGUGUUUCAGGCCUGGGCAUCGCGUACGGGCAGCGUUUCUGAUAGAAUUCAUGGUGCAGGGGUGCGACGCGUCCAUCUUGCUGGACGACACGGCCAACUCCCCUGGCGAGAAGAACGCCGGGCCGAACGCCAACUCGGUGCGCGGCUACGAGGUCAUCGACGACAUCAAGGCGCACGUCGAGGCCUCCUGUAAAGCCACCGUCUCCUGCGCCGACAUCCUCGCCCUCGCUGCCCGCGACGCCGUCAACCUGGUCCGCUCCUCUCUCAUCUCUCUCCCAAGAAACACAUGUCCGAUCGAGUGAGUUUAGCUAGCUAGUGGCAUUGUUAAUUAAUCGAUCGCGUGGCUGGAUGAAUGCAGCUCGGGGGCCCGAGCUGGACGGUGCAGCUGGGCCGGCGGGACGGCCGCGACGCGAACCAAUACGCGGCGAACCAGAACCUGCCACCGCCAGACGCGACGCUCCCGGACCUCCUGGCCCGCUUCCGGUCCAAGGGCCUGGACGCCCGCGACCUCACCGCGCUCUCGGGGGCCCACACCGUCGGCUGGGCCCGCUGCGCCACCUUCCGGGCCCACGUCUACAACAGCAGCGGCGCCGCCAUCGACGCCGCAUUCGCCGCGGGGCUGCGGGCCAGGGCGUGCCCGCCGGCGGGGGGCGGCGGCGACGGCAACCUGGCCCCGCUCGAGCAGCGCGCGCCCGCGGCCUUCGACAACGGCUACUUCAAGGACCUCGUCGCCCGCCGCGUGCUGCUGCGGUCCGACCAGGAGCUCUACGGUGGCGGCGGCGGCGCAACGGACGCGCUCGUGCGGGCCUAUGCUGCCGAUGGGGCCGCGUUUGCGGCAGACUUCGCCGCGGCUAUGGUGAAGAUGGGCAGCCUCGCGCUCACCGGGAACAGCGGCGAGGUCCGGCUCAACUGCCGCAGAGUGAACUGAUCGGAUCCAUCCAGUUGAAUCAAACUGAUGGAUCGUUUGAUUCUUUAUGUACUCUUCGCAAAAAGCACCAAUUGUUAAGCCUCUUUUGACAAAUAAAGAAAGCAAAAAUUAGCGAUUUCAGUUUCAAAUUUUUUUUUAGUGCUUUUGAUUCCAAUCUGACAAGCUUCGAUCGCCAAGGCAGAUACCUGAUCCGUGGCAGGGGUGAGGUUUUAGUUCUGUACGGACUACGGAGACCAUGGUUUAGCCAUUUGAUGUGCAAAAUGGACCAAAAUGGACGGUUGAGAUCGGGGCAGGGAAUCUCCCGCGGGCCAAUGGGACGCUCACUGGAUAUGUAACGUUUGAUUCGCGGAAGGCAAAGGCUCGUGGCUGUCUGUCAAAAGUGUGUGCCAGAUUCUUAUCCGUGUCAAUUUCACUCACUCAGUGAGCUGUGUUUGUCAGAUAGCUACAGAAGGAAGAAAUUAACUCUGAAACUAGAGUCUACAACCGUGCAAUUACGUGUGUAAAAUUAGAUAAUUUUUCAGCCUUGCACUCGCAGCCAUCAUGGGAAUAGGGAAAAUAGAGGAUUGAGAUGUGAUGGACACUUUAAUUCUUAGAAAUUUUAAAUGAAAUCUCACCUUCUAUGUAUAUCCUUAGAAAUUAGAUUAAAUUUGAGACCAAUCCUUAGAAAUGUAGCAUCUCAUUUGGUAUGAAACGAAUGCUACGCAUAAGAAAAAACCCUGCUCAUCAUCGCGCAUUGGGCAUUUCUAGCUUCUGACGCUUACACAGCUAAUGAUCGACGCUUCCUCGUGACUCCCAACUGAUGGAACCAAUCGUUGACCUCCCCGGAAACAUGACACAAGCCGAGCCAGAAAAGUACUUUGCAGAGUGAGCCGCGGUCACAUGGACAGACAUAUCGGCCCCCAACGUUUUCUUAACAGGCUACAUUAUCGCGCUGGACAGGCAGGAACAACGUAAUUGGGAUGGAGACUGCGAGUACAGGUUAACAUAUAGCAAUACUUCUGCUAAUACACGCUUGCAUGGGGAGGGAAUAAAUUAAUACUUCCACGAAGCAAGCACAUUUGAAGCAGCAAUCUCCUCUUGCCCCGGUCGCGCAAUAAACAGGCGGAUCUAGCAGCAACGCAAGAGUCCAAUUUCCUUGUGACUGCAAACUCAGUACUUCUAUUUUCUGCCGAAUGUAAUCAAAAGAUCAAACAAUUUUUUUGGUUUGCUUAGCCGAUUAGCUAGCUUCAUAGUGAAGCCAACUGUUCAUAACAAGUGAGUACUUACCAAUUAACAAAAGAGAUAAAAAUAAUCCAAGACACUGCGCAAUAAACAAAGCGAACCAUUUAGAGAUAGGCAUAUAUGUGACUAGGCGUGUUCAUCAUGUUUAGACCAGCCAUAAAUUCCUUUGGUAUUCUCUGUGUACUGAAAAUUAGUCAUGCAUACUUGAAAAGUUUUUAGAAGACUUUGAAUAAUUGGAGAAAUAAGAUAUUUACAAGAAGCAUGGGAAUGUUUGUCUUGAAAAGAUUAGAGUAAUUUUAGAAGGCUUCAGAGGUUACAUGGAAAUCGAGAUAUUUGCCAUGGAAGCUCCUAGAGCAAGUCCAUGACAAACAUAGAAAUAUUUUAAAGAGCAAGCGAGAUUACUUAAAUAGAAAUGAUAUUUAUCGUGGAAGACACUAGAUAUUGAUGGAGAAUACACUAGAGCAUACAAUAGUAGGUCUAGCCCCCCGGGAAAUCCUACUAUUACAAUGUUUUUGUUUGACAGAGACAAGAAUGUAUAUAUUGGCUUGCCAAUACGUGGAUAUGGCCGCCUGAGCUAUUUGCAUGAUAUUGUCAUUCAGUAAACUAAUGUGAUCAGCACAAUCUGCACGUUCAUUCACCUAAUUAUUUUUGCUAAUGGUAUGUGAUAUGCAUGAAAUGUUUUCAGUCAUUUUAUUGUACAUGCAACAAAUGUGACUAAUAUAAUAAAGACCCAAGCAUUUUAAGCCGUGAAAAUAUUAUACGCCUAAUUAGUUUAUAGUACAACGAAGAAAAUGUUAUCUACGAAUGAUGUUAGACUAUGCGCGAAGCGAAGCGUCUGAGACUAUCUAGUAUCAAAUAAUUUGAGACAUUAAAACAUUCAAAACAUUGCCAUAUAUAAUAGAUGGAGAUCUAGGUAUAAUUGGUUAUCCGUGAUAUCCAAAUGACAUUCAGAACAUAAAACAAGUGACCAUUCUAGCUGCUGCCGUGCACGCCGCAAACGCGUCGGCGUCGGCAUCGGUCGCUGCCAAAUGCGCCGCUAGCACCGCCGCCCAUAUUGCGAAGCACUCCACCGUUGCGGCAGACUGCGAUUCUGAGCCGGAGCGGGAUGAGGAGAUCGGGAUGAGGAGAUCGGGAUCUCAUCCCUGCCUUCCUUCAAACCAUGGCGCUCGCUCUCGUCCUCGUCCUCAUCCACCUGAACCACGGUCUCGUCCGCCUGGACAUCGACCUCCUCAUCGACAUUCAACGACCUGACGGUGAGCAUGCUUAAAAUUGCGGUCAUUUUACUUUCUUCGUGUGUCCCUGUUUCUCGGUUAUUUAAUCGUGCCGUAGUUCCUUUUCAUUCGUUCCAAUCGUUCAAAUCGGGACGAAAUUGCAUCCGCAUGUUGGCUGCUGUUAUCUGCUUGUUUAGAUCGUUAUACGUCUAUGUGGCUAAACUAGAUCUUGGGUUUUCGAAUAUCUUGCGUACAUGUGAGUUGUGACCGUACUUUCUUCUUGUUUUGUCUCGUGCAGGAAAGUACUCACAUGUAUGACCAACAAGUUUUGUACUACGAGUGUUUCGUAUCAACGUGUAUUGGAGGGCCUGUCUAUCCAUCCUACUCCUCCUUCGUUCUAGCCGACGACCCAGAGUUCUUAUUGAUUUUAUUCUCAAUCGUGUCAACUAUUAUAGUGGUUUUUUACUUUCGAGGGAGGUGCAAGAAGAAGUAUAAGUGGGUGAGGAUAUGGAUCGGGCGAGUAGUCCUCCUCCUCUUGUGCAUAUGUAUCGAUAUUUUUUCUCUUGUACAUUGUACCAACAUUUUGCUUUGGUUUCUCGGACCGCACACACCUUUCAACAAUUAUGGAACGAUUAUCCUGAUGUAACUUUACUCGUCCACAUCAUGGCGUGGCAUGCUAGAUUUCCUAAGGCAAGUUUUUUUCCCACACAAGAAAAGUUUUUUUUUCCCCGCACAUCUAUUACUUUCUGUUAUAAAACAUAUUCCUGAUAUGCACUUUUUUCGUAAGUCUCGUCCUCAUUUUCAUUUGUGCUAUAGGAUUGUUGUUCCGAUGAGCUCUGUGGGCGGUGCGGUCAUCUCAGAGAUGGUCUCAGAGAUGGUAUUCUCUUGAUGUCCGCUCAGCCGCUGUGGUCAGGCAAAUAUUGGGGCAGAGCUAAAAUGAUAGAGAACAAAGCAGAUCAGAGAGUACCAAAGGGUAUAAUCGUGAGAGUUUUUACCGUAGCUUGGACUCCACUAUUGGGAAUGGAGUGCCAUGCAAACCAGACCAUUUGAUUUAUGAGGUGGCGAGUAUCGAAUUCUCUUGCGACCACAAGUUUAUCCCAUCGGUAUGCAUCUCCUCGUGCUUGUCAUUUUCCCUGUCUCGCCCUCCUCGCUCCGAACGCGAUCGACAUUCGAUGCCACCGCCGCCGUGCCUCGUCGUAGCCAAUGUCUCCUAUAGCGUCCACCACCAUGUCAAGAAUCUCCGCCGCUUCCGAUUGAACCCGAACACGAGCACAUCCACCUCGGGACGCUGUCUGCAACGAGAUCGGCGCCGUCUCCCCAAACUCCGGCCAUUGCUGCUCCGCUGUCACACUUCCGUGCCUCCCCGAGCCUCGCCGACCCGUCUGCUAGCUUUGUGGUGAUCUGAGGAGCAUUUCCCCUCUCUUUUCGUAGCCUUUAGUGCUUUGUAGUGUCGUCUAGGACGAAGUCGACCGUCACCGCCGUUGUAUUGUCACCGGCGUAUCUUCGGCGACCAUCAGGUCGUUCCUCCACCGUAGUUAGGUUCAUCCAGGGCUCGUUCGAAUGAACCUAUCCACGUCCAGUUUGGUGCCAUGUACCGUUUCCGGCACGAUUCCGGUGUGCCCGAGCCGCGCCGCCAUGUUUUGGUCACCGUCGUCAGCCGCUGACCUCUGGGUCCGCUUGCUAGAGCUGGGACCCACUCGUCAGCGAGUUUAGCCAUUUUUGGAAAAUGAGGGAAAAUCCUGAUGGUGGGGCCCACAUGUCAGUUGACUAGUCCAUACCCGCGUGGCAGCACUGUUGGCCGCGGAUCCACAUGUCAAUGUUUGUAGCUAUUCCGGCAGUAGGUGACAAAAGUUGGCUAUAAAAAUAAGUAUUAAUCUGGAAUUCCAUUAAUAGCUUAAAAGGCCUCCAAACUUGGAAACUUCAUACGAACUCAGAAAAUACAAGUGAGUACAUCAAAUUGAUCAGAAAAAUGUGAUUUACCUGAUGGUGCCAUGUUCAUGCAUGUUUGGUCCACUUAGCUCGUUGUUCUUUAGUAAAAGAAGAGUGUUAGGCUUAUUUCUUAAUUAUGGAAUUCAUUACUAAAGCUUUAACCUGUGCAUGAUGUAUUAGCCUUAUUCUGAGUUGUAGAUUGUCAUGUCAUAUCAUUGCAAGUAUUACAUGCUGGUCUUGAGCAUAAGCGUAACAGUAGCUUGUUUCCCUUUUUCCGGUGUUUCAUUGGUAGAUCCAAGUUACGAGGUGGAACUUGAGCAAGACCCCGCCGACGUUGAGUUUGACCAAAAAGGCAAGCAAAACCCCUUUGUCCUCGCUGAAUGAUUGGUUCUAUUUUACCGCCCGGCCGGCGAGGGUGAACCACAGGUGAAAUGGCCAUCGCUGAUCUGAUGUUCCGAGUUCCGAUUUUACCCAGUAGCACGGGUCCGUCCGUUUGUCCGGUUGGUGCCACUACAUUGCCAUGCACGCGACAUUCCUCCGGUAGCCUCUCCAUACGGGCUCGGCGCGCUGGCGCUGCCUCGCCGGAUUCGACGGACGGGCAACCAAACCCGCUGGAUCGCCGAGGUUGGUUUUGGUCCGGCUCGCGCUCCAUCGGUCUGUCCGUGGGGACACACACACACAACACUCGAUUCAGUUUAUAGCAGUAAAACAACACACACUUGCACAGAGACGUACCCGGGGCCGCCUUCGCCGCGGGGCUGCGGCCUGCGGGCCAGGGCGUGCCUGCCGGCGGGGAACACCCAUCUAGUCGAAUCAAAUCGAUCCAUCGUUUGAUUCUUCUUGUACUCUUCGCAAAAAGCAUCAAUUGUUAAGCCUCUUUCUGAUAAAUUACAAAUGCCGGUCUUGCACUUUUAAUUCCAGUCUGAUAAGCUUCGAUCGCUCAAGGCAGGUAACCUGAUCCGUGGCAGGGGUGAGGUUUUAGUUCUGUACGGAGAACAAGCUUUAGCCGUUUGAUGUGCGAAAUGGACGGUUGAGAUGGGGGCAGGGAAUCUCCCGGGCCAAUGGUACACCGGCUAGACAUGUGCCGUUUGAUUCGCGGAAGGCAAAGGCUCGUGGCUGCCAGAAAACUGUUUUGCAGAGUGAGCCGCAACCCACAUGGACAGACAUAUCGACCCACAACGUUUUUUGAAUAGUCUACGUUGUCGCGCUGGACAGGCAGGAACAGCCUAAUUGGGAUGGAGACUGCGAGUACAAGUUAACAUAUAGCACAACUCGUGAAAAUUAGCCAACAAUACUCCUGCUAAUAUACGCUUGCAUGAGCAGGGAAUAAAUCAAUACUUCUACGAAGCAAGUACAUUUGAAGCACCAAACUCCUCUUGCCCUGGUCACGCAAUAAACAGGCAGACCUGUUGUUUGCUAUGGAACGUCAAACACUUCUGAUAGCAACGCAAGAGUCCAAUUUCCUUGAGACUACAAAGUCAGUACUUCUAUUUUCUGCCAAAUGUAAUCAAAAGAUCAAGCAAAUUUUUUGGUUUGCUUAGCCAAUUUGCUAGCUUCAUAGUGAAGCCAACUGUUCAUAAAAAGUGAGCACCCGAUCAACACAAGAGAUAAGAAUAAUCCAAGGCAUCGCACAAUAAACAAAGCGAGCAAUUCAGAGAUAGGCACAUAUGUGACUAGGCGUGUUCAGCAUGUUUAGAAAUUUAUUUUGUAUUCUCUGUGCAUUGAAAAUUAGCUAUGCAUACUUGAAUUUUUUUUAGAAUACUUUGAAUAAUUAUAGAAAUAAGACAUUUACAAGAAGCUUGCGAAUGUUUGUCUUGAGAAGAUUGGAGUAAUUUAGAUGGUUUGAGAGGUUACAUGAAAAUCGAGAUAUUUGCCAUGGAAGCUCCGAGAGCAAGUCCACCAUGACAAACAUAGAAAUAUUUUAAAAAAAUUGUGAGAUUACUCGAAUAGAAAUGAUAUUUAUCAUGGAAGACAUGAGAGCAUAUAGUAGUGGGAAAUCCUAGAAUUACAAUGUUUUUGUUUGAAAGAGGCAACAAUGCAUAUAUUGGCUUGCCAAUACUUGGAUAUGGCCGCCUGAGCUAUUUGCAUGAUAUGCCCAUUCAUUAAACCAAUGUGAUAAACACAAUCUGCACGUUCAUCCACCUAAUUAUUUCUGUUAAUGAUAUGUGAUAUGCAGUAAAUGUUUUGAGUCGUUUUAUUGUACAUGCAAUGAAUGUGCCUAACGAAAACCCAAGCAUUUUAAACCGUGAAAAUAUUAUACACCUAAUUACUUUAUAUUACAACGAAAAAAGGUCAUCUAUAAAUGAUGUUAGACUAUGCACGCAACGGAGCAUCUGAGACUGUCUAAUAUCAAACAGUUUGAGAAAUUAAGACAUUCAAAAUAUUGUCAGAUAUAGUAGAUGGAGAUCUAUGUAUAAGGGUUCUUCUAAUUUGGAUGGAUGGAGUAUCAUCCCAAAACUAAACGGAGUAAUUAGAUAGUAGAGUAAAAUUGUAACUUGCCGCACCUCCAUGCUCUCGAUCAGGCCCCCGUCGGCUAUUUUGACGUUCUUUGGGGAGCCGCAGAUAUUUAUUUUAAUAUUGUGUUGGUCAGGAGUCGAACUCAAGAACCAAAAGUCCGAGCUGACGGAAAGAGUUAGAUAAUUUAUUUAAAGCACGUCUAUCACCUCAAUUCCUAGCGUGCAAAGAAGCUUUUACACAUAGCAAUCUCUGUUAUGGAAACCCGAUCCUUACGAGCUCCCCUGACAUUCUGGAUCUGCUAGCUUAGUUUUACUUUCUUCUAAGUUCCACGAAAAUAAGAAAACUUGUGCCCGACUAUUUCCUGAACAGUUCCCGCCUCGUUAAAUACAUAUGUGCCUCUCUUCGAACCCUCGAUUCGGGAAGAGUUCGAUCUCUUGAGGUCUUGCUUUGUGUUUCAAGCCCAAUUCGAGCUUUUGUUCCGUCUCUCCAGCAUCUCUAUGUCGUUGUUCCCGAACAAAGUCUCUGGCAUCAAUUGACCCAUCUCCUUGCUGAAAUGAAAGGAUCGGGCGCUCGAUGAGGAGCUGUUCCAUCUAUGUUGGUUUGACCUCACCCCGUUGGUUGCCGUCGCAUUCUAUCUGCCACGGCUCAUCUCUCGUGGUACCCCUGCACGACGCCGAGAAACUCAUCCACCACCUACGUCUACGACGACCGCGAGCCAACUGACCUCGACGUGACAUUCGCGCUCGCGCCCAAGGCCGAGCACGGAUCGCUUCUUCUUCACCCUCUCCAGGCAUCAGAAAGGUGAACCAUUUGGUAACUCAAAUCGACGCAGAUUCUCACUUGCCUCUUUUGGACGUCCCUUCCAAUUCAACCGUUUGGCUCACACACUGCAGCAAAGGCUAAUCCAUUUUAGUUUUCCAUUACAAAAUUCUUGCGUUAGAUUCAUUUUAUUCUUUCGGGAUGAAUUUGUUGAGCUGUUGUUGAAAAUCCUGUGCUAAAUCGACUGUAUCAAAAGUUGGAUUUACACUGGGCUUUGUUUGGGCUAGAAUGUGCAUCUGGGCUGGCUUUUCUUCACCGAGAAAGCUGGCUUUAUUCGCUUGGGGAAGUUCGAGAAUCUGGGUCGCUUCUUCGGGCCCUGCAGAGCAGUGUCCCAACCAGCCUCGGAGACUCACCAGUCACCAGUUCACUUCCCCUAAAAAAAAAAAACCAGUCACCAGUUCACCACCCUACUCUGUGCUGGACAGUGACUUGGCGGCGUUCCUGUGUUCCUAGUUCCUAGUAGGAAAAGUGUUUUAUACAUGUGAGCACUGACGUACUAGUGUAACAAAAACACAACUACCUGCUCUACUCUUGUACGUGUGUGGCUGCUACUUCAUCAAUCCUUUACUCGUGUGGCUGCUAUUCAAUUAGUGAUCGAUUCUUGUUAAACAAUUCCUCUAUUAUAUACACCCAGGUCAACCUACUAGCUGGAGUAAAGGAUUGUCGGAAUAAAGGAAAUCAAGUCGUCGGCAAUCUGAAAUGCAAGAUGCCGACUCAACUAACUAGGCCAAAGAUUAGUCCACGCACGCCGCACAGGCGCACAGCACACCCGACAAAAGGCUAGCAAGCUGCUUGUCUAAGCUCGUCCGGCGCCCCUACGUUCAUACACAACGUGCACGAGUCUGAAAUUGAAAUAGAUAGUCGUCUUGUGCUUUUCAUUUAUCGACCUCAAGACUCCCAGUGGGCUGUCACUCUCAAUCGAUCAGUACAUACCUGGUGGAAGCAGGAAGAUAUAUUAAUCGGUCAUUCACUUUGAUAAGUUUGCUUCCUCCACUAACAAAAUCAUCAUAUCUUCUUAUUCCCUCCUCUUCCACACGGCAUGCAGCUUCUGUUUCUCUUCCUAGAGCCACAGAGCUAGUUUGGAUCCGAAGAUAGCUGGCAUAGCAUGCCUGCUUGUUGCUGCUUCCGCGGCCGCGCUAAUCCCAGCAAGAAACACCUCAGCUACUCCCCUUCCGUUCCCGGUAAUUCGAUCAUAUCCUUAUUAAGAUUAUCAACUACUCCAGUAAUCUUAUAUUCUUGCUUGGAUUAACUAAUUUCUGGCGGAUCAUCAGCAUCGUCAUCGGAGCCGGAGACGAAAAAGAAGAAGAAGUUCAAGGUGUUUACGUACAGGGAGCUGCGUUGGGCGACCAACAACUUCCACCGGAGCAACAAGAUCGGCCAGGGCGGCUUCGGCGCCGUCUACAAGGGCACACUCCGCGACGGAUCCGACGUGGCCGUCAAGGUGCUCUCCGCCAGCUCCCGCCAGGGGAUCAAGGAGUUCCUCACCGAGAUCCACGUCAUCGCCGACGUGGACCACCCCAACCUCGUGGACCUCCUCGGCUGCUGCGCCCACGGCGACCGCCACCGCAUCCUCGUCUACGACCUCCUCCCCAACGGCAGCCUCCACCGCGCCCUCCUCUCGAGCACGGCGGCCAACGGCUCCUCCCGUAGGCUGCCGGCGGCGAUGACGUGGCGCGUCCGACGUGGCGCGUGCGUCGGCGUUGCGCGCGGGCUGGCGUUCCUGCACGAGGAGCUCGGCGUGGUGCACCGCGACAUCAAGGCCAGCAACGUGCUUCUCGACGCCGACUGGGCGCCCAAGAUCGGCGACUUCGGGCUCGCGAGGCUCUUCCCCGACAACGUCACCCACGUCAGCACACGCGUGGCGGGCACCACGGGUUACCUGGCGCCCGAGUACGCGUGGCACGGCCAGCUCACCAAGAAGGCCGACGUGUACAGCUUCGGCGUGCUCGUGCUGGAGAUCGUCACCGGGAAGAGCAGCUCAAGAAGUCUCCACCAUAAUUGCCUCUACAACGACGACGAUGAGAAGGUGCUGGUUGAGAGGGUGUGGGAGACAUUUGAGACCGGCAAGCUUGGUGACAUCAUCGACCCGGCUCUCGUGUUUCUGCCGGAGACGAAGGAGAAGGAGGAGGCCGUGAGGUACAUGAAGGUUGCGCUGCUUUGCACGCAGGCGGCGCCGCUUCGUCGGCCGGCGAUGCCGCAGGUGGUCGAGAUGCUGGAGAGAGGGGAUGUGAGGAUCAGGGAGACGGAGAUGACGCCGCCAGGGUACGUGGUCAAGUCUCAUCAUCGUCAGGACGGGUCGGACAAGAAACAUUCUUCCGUUUCGUCCAUGCUUGUUAAUGUUUCGCAUAGUACUGUCACUGAGAUUGCGCCAAGGUGAUCGGACUUUCAUUUAAUUACGAGUACUGUAUACUGGCAUCAUUCAUUCAUGAGUAUCGAUAAGAGCGAGCAAGCAAUUCCAGCAAAUGCUUAAGCAAAGAUCUCUGUUGCUUGGUUGGAUGUUGGAUGGAUCAAUCGGGAAUUCGAGAUGAGGUUGUAAACCCAAUACUUUGUUGUUGAGACACUCAAACAAUCGAUCGAUCGGGACUUUAAAACUCUACAAUACCAUACCGAUAUAAGCCGGCCCAUCUCUUUGAAGACAGCCUGCAAGGCCCAACUAUAAGCAAUAAUGUUGUUUCGCUAAAAAAAAAAGCAAUAAUGUUGUUGGGCACCCAUGUUAAUACUAAUACAAUUACAUUUUUUACUAGCGUCGUUUGAAAUAAAGAAAUUGUAAUGCAAGUUGGUCAUUGUUUUUUUAGUUAAUACUAAAAAAUGGGCAUGCAAGUUGGCUCAUUGUUUUUUCUACUAGCGUUGUUGACAAUCAACCGGGUGGCUAGGUUUUUGGCCGAGCGUAAUGAAGUCCAAAAUGGGCCACGCCCCCCUUCAAAAUUAAGAAUAAAUAAAUUAAUACCACACGUUAUAGCGCAGCGUCCCAACCCAUCACCCAAUGAUCUUCUUCAAAAGUUCCAAUUCGCCAGCCCACGCAAUCGUCAGAACGCCACGAUACAUAAGCACACACCCUCUACUCGUGUCGUCUUCCCAAAUCUCUAAUAGCAUUCUGCCUGAUCAAUGAUCACCUAACGCCUCAGUUCUCCUCCAGUCCUCCCGGCUCCUCAAUCCCUUCUGGUCUCCCAUACUUCUUGGCUUCUCAUCGGCGUGCACCCCACUUUGGCAGCCUGAUGCCUGCCUGCCACUGCUGCACGCCUGCACGGCCCACCGCUCGGCACACGACUGCCGGUACGCUCUUUUUGUGAACUCUCCUGAUUUAAUUGAUGCCAACUCAAUCUUUUUUAUCAUUUGGCAGCUCUUUUUCACAGUACAUAUUUCGUGUUUGAUAUAAACUUGACCGCCUCUUAUAUGUUGUUCACACUCAGCCACUGGGUGAGGAUGUUUGGGAGCUGGACACCUUUGCACAUGUUCAUGAUCCUCCCCAGGAAGAAGCAGAAAGCUACAUCUAGGCCAUGACAAAAGCAUGUGCAUGAGGAAUGAUGCAACCGCAAGUUGAAACAUAUGCCCUGCUCUUGGCGCAAGCUUGCGAGUGUUAGUGACAUGAUCUGGUACCAAAUAGUGUUCUUUUCCAGCAGAUUAAGAUACUGGUUCAACUUAAUUUUAGCGUGCUUAAAGUUUUACGUUGCAAUCAUAACGUAAUAAGGUUGAUAUAUGCUCUUGUGAUUCCGGAUGCAAGAAAUUAUUGGAACCAAGUUAUGGCAGAUGAAUUAUUAUCGACACCGACUUAACCACUUAUAAAAACAAAUACUUAAGAGUAAAUCAAUGUUUAAUACUAGAAAAAGAAAAAAGACACCCGUAAAAAAGAGAGAGUAAAAGAUAACAUCAUCCUUGCAAGAUCACUAUCCUCUCUCUGGCGGAUACUACGUCUACUUUGAUUAACUUCAAUAUGGAAUGAUACCUGUAUUCCCCUUUCAGGAAAAAAAUAUCUUGUACUUCAAUCAAUUACCUUCAUGUGAAUUUAUAGGUAGAUGCUUGCACUUCUAUGAUGCUUCCUGAUAUAACACAUUUCCAUCCUAAUAGAUCAGCAACUUCUCUAUUAGAUUCAAGAGACAUAGACACAUAAUAAUAAUUAGAAGUUACCACAAGAAAAACAUAUAAACUCAGAAAUGUAUGAGACACAUUCAAGUAAAAAACAUAUGGAACAUAUGUUCUCAGAAAUGGAUAUAGCACACCACAAAUAUCUAUAUAAAUUUUCUAUUUUCAUGUCAAACAUACAAAAUAUUGUACAGACCUAGUUCCUAACAUACAUAGUUAACUUUUGUAGAAAUAUUCUCUUCCGUACCAAACAAAAAAAUGAUCCACACAAAUAAAGCUUAGAUAUUGAAAUAUUAACUAGCAAACGUGACACAAAUUUCUAUCUAAUAAGACCAAAUUAAAGAACACUUUUUUCUAAGCUACAUAUACUUUUUUUUUG